This 447-nucleotide ribosomal RNA is filed under the name uncultured bacterium. RNAcentral's name for it is "SSU rRNA". It matches the Rfam family "Bacterial small subunit ribosomal RNA", at positions 26 to 518 of the family's 1533-position model. The record is from RNAcentral.
AGAGCGAACGCUGGCGGCAGGCUUAACACAUGCAAGUCGAGCGGGCGUAGCAAUACGUCAGCGGCAGACGGGUGAGUAACGCGUGGGAACGUACCUUUUGGUUCGGAACAACCCAGGGAAACUUGGGCUAAUACCGGAUAAGCCCUUACGGGGAAAGAUUUAUCGCCGAAAGAUCGGCCCGCGUCUGAUUAGCUAGUUGGUGAGGUAAUGGCUCACCAAGGCGACGAUCAGUAGCUGGUCUGAGAGGAUGAUCAGCCACAUUGGGACUGAGACACGGCCCAAACUCCUACGGGAGGCAGCAGUGGGGAAUAUUGGACAAUGGGCGCAAGCCUGAUCCAGCCAUGCCGCGUGAGUGAUGAAGGCCCUAGGGUUGUAAAGCUCUUUUGUGCGGGAAGAUAAUGACGGUACCGCAAGAAUAAGCCCGGCUAACUUCGCGCCAGCAGCCGC